This 1005-nucleotide ribosomal RNA is filed under the name Triticum aestivum (bread wheat). RNAcentral describes it as "partial small subunit ribosomal RNA". Lineage: Eukaryota; Viridiplantae; Streptophyta; Magnoliopsida; Poales; Poaceae. The record is from RNAcentral.
AUGGCAUGGUUCGCCUCACUGGCCCUUCUUGGCGCCCUCCACGUAGCCGCCUUGGCGUUCCCCGUCCUCUCGCACCUGGCCCUCUGCCUGCGCCGGCACAAGGACCUCCGACGCCGCUACGGCGCGUGGGCCGUCGUCACCGGGCCAACAUCCGGCAUGGGGCGGUCCACGGCCCUGGAGCUCGCGCGCAGGGGGAUGAACCUCGUCCUCGUCGGCCGCAACCCGGCCAAGCUCCGGGACAUCUCCGCGGCCAUAUCCAAGGCCGCUCCCGCCGUCCAGACCAAGACCGUCGUGUUGGACCUGUCGCUCGUCUCCACCGCUCAGGGCGACGAGGCGAUGCGGCGGCUACGGCGGACCGUGGAGGCGCUGGACGUGGGCGUGCUGGUGAACAACGCCGGGGUGCUGGAUCCCCCCGCGGCGUUCCUGCACGACGCCGGCGUGGAGGCGUGGGUGGACAUGAUACGGGUGAACCUGCUGGCGCUGACCGAGGUGACGGCGGCGGUGAUUCCGGGGAUGGUGGAGCGCCGGAGGGGAGCUGUGGUGAACUUCGGCUCGAUGUCAUCGGAGGCCCUCCCCUCCUUGCCCCUCUACACCAUGUACGCCGCCACGAAACGCUACGUUGCUCGGUUCUCCAAGUGCCUUCACCUCGAGUAUAGAAGCAAAGGAAUCGAUGUGCAAUGCCAGGCACCGUUCUUCGUGACCGGCGCCAUGGCGUCGGGCUUCUCGGAGGCCAAGCUCUUCGCGCCGUUGACGCCGACGCCCGACGACUACGCGCGCGCAGCAGUGCGCUGGAUCGGCCACGGCGCGCUCUGCGUGCCCAACUUGCGGCACCAGAUCGCGUGGUUCAUAGCCUACGUCGUGCCCGACUGGUUGCUCGAGGAGCUCCUCCUGCGUGAGCACCUGUGGCAGAGGAAGGAGCUACGGAGGAUGAGGCCGUUGCCGCGUGCCCCAGCCGGGAGUCGGGACCUAGUAAGCUACACAUGCACCAGCGGCUGCCUCAGUUGA